This 557-nucleotide ribosomal RNA is filed under the name uncultured bacterium. Its description in RNAcentral is "partial 16S ribosomal RNA". It matches the Rfam family "Bacterial small subunit ribosomal RNA", at positions 355 to 905 of the family's 1533-position model. The record is from RNAcentral.
UGGGGAAUUUUGGACAAUGGGGGCAACCCUGAUCCAGCAAUGCCGCGUGUGUGAAGAAGGCCUUCGGGUUGUAAAGCACUUUUGUCCGGAAAGAAAACGCCGUGGUUAAUACCCGUGGCGGAUGACGGUACCGGAAGAAUAAGCACCGGCUAACUACGUGCCAGCAGCCGCGGUAAUACGUAGGGUGCAAGCGUUAAUCGGAAUUACUGGGCGUAAAGCGUGCGCAGGCGGUCCGCUAAGACAGAUGUGAAAUCCCCGGGCUUAACCUGGGAACUGCAUUUGUGACUGGCGGGCUAGAGUAUGGCAGAGGGGGGUAGAAUUCCACGUGUAGCAGUGAAAUGCGUAGAGAUGUGGAGGAAUACCGAUGGCGAAGGCAGCCCCCUGGGCCAAUACUGACGCUCAUGCACGAAAGCGUGGGGGAGCAAACAGGAUUAGAUACCCUGGUAGUCCACGCCCUAACGAUGUCAACUAGUUGUCGGGUCUUCAUUGACUUGGGUACGUAGCUAACCGCGUGAAGUUGACCGCCUGGGAGUACGGUCGCAAGAUUAAAACUCAAA